AGAGUUUGAUCCUGGCUCAGGACGAACGCUGGCGGCGUGCCUAACACAUGCAAGUCGAGCGAUGAAGCCCUUCGGGGUGGAUUAGCGGCGGACGGGUGAGUAACACGUGGGUAACCUGCCUCAAAGAGGGGGAUAGCCUCCCGAAAGGGAGAUUAAUACCGCAUAACAUUAGCUUUUCGCAUGGAGAGCUAAUUAAAGGAGUAAUCCGCUUUGAGAUGGACCCGCGGCGCAUUAGCUAGUUGGUGAGGUAAAGGCUCACCAAGGCGACGAUGCGUAGCCGACCUGAGAGGGUGAUCGGCCACAUUGGAACUGAGACACGGUCCAGACUCCUACGGGAGGCAGCAGUGGGGAAUAUUGCACAAUGGGCGAAAGCCUGAUGCAGCAACGCCGCGUGAGUGAUGAAGGCCUUCGGGUUGUAAAGCUCUGUCUUUGGGGACGAUAAUGACGGUACCCAAGGAGGAAGCCACGGCUAACUACGUGCCAGCAGCCGCGGUAAUACGUAGGUGGCGAGCGUUGUCCGGAUUUACUGGGCGUAAAGGAUGCGUAGGUGGAUGUUUAAGUCAGAUGUGAAAUACCCGAGCUUAACUUGGGUGCUGCAUUUGAAACUGGAUAUCUAGAGUGCAGGAGAGGUAAGUGGAAUUCCUAGUGUAGCGGUGAAAUGCGUAGAGAUUAGGAAGAACACCAGUGGCGAAGGCGACUUACUGGACUGUAACUGACACUGAGGCAUGAAAGCGUGGGUAGCAAACAGGAUUAGAUACCCUGGUAGUCCACGCCGUAAACGAUGAGUACUAGGUGUAGGGGGGUCCAACCUUCUGUGCCGCAGUUAACACAAUAAGUACUCCGCCUGGGAAGUACGAUCGCAAGAUUAAAACUCAAAGGAAUUGACGG
Molecule: ribosomal RNA, 888 nt
Filed under: uncultured bacterium
Lineage: Bacteria
Description: bacterial SSU rRNA
Rfam family: Bacterial small subunit ribosomal RNA
Source: RNAcentral